AGACCAGCUCAGAGUACGGAGAGCUGGAGGCACAGUGGCUGCAGCUCCAGCCUCAGAGCCUGCGCCUCCAAGUGGCCAGGGCGGCAUUGGGAGGGAGGCGGAGGGAGGAGGGGGGCGGGAGGCGAGAGGCAGGAGGGGAACUGGGUCCAGGUUUUGCCAGCAGCCCUCCUGGCAGCCAUUCAGAGCUCCUGCCCCUGCUGGCGCGGCAGCAGAAGCGGCGGGAGCGGCUGCGGCGGCAGAGGGGGGCGCGGCGGUGGCAGAGGCGCGCCGGCAGAGGCGCACAGGGCGGUGGCGGCAGAGGGAGGCGCGGCGGCCGAGCCGUUAGAGGCGGCGGCUGUGUCUGAGCCGUUAGCGGUAGCGGCAGCGGCUGAGCCGGUAGAGGCGGGGGCCAUGGCGGUGGAGCCGUUAGAGGCGGCCGCGGCGGCCGAGCCGGUAGAGCCGGCGGCGGCGGCCGCGGCGGCCGCAGCGGUGACGUUAGCGAGCACAGGAUCCGGAGCUGGAGCCCAGCAAGAACCUGCGGCAGGUCCUUGUUCCCCUAAGCCAGGCCCCGCUUCCCAGCCGUGCCCAGCCCGCGCCGGCUGCCUGCUGAGUCUGGGAGCCUCACGCUGUGCCCUCCUCCAGCCGCGCCAGGCUUCCCUGCGGUGAUGAGGGGCACCGCGAACGGUGCGGUUGGAGCAGAGCGCGCAGCGGAGGCUGCGCCCAGAGAGGAGCUCACUUCUCCGCCCCACCGGGAGGCAGCGGCUGGGACGACUCUGAGAGCCGGUAGGUGUUGGGCCAUGGCCCUCCCCCGACCCCGCUGGAGGCCGGUUCCCUCCCCUUCCCUUCCUACCUACCUCUCCUCCCUCCGGGCCUGGUGGGUGGCCAGGGCCGGAGUUCGCUGCAAGUCGGCAGAACGUUUGGCGGCGCAGGCUCCCCAGAAGUUCAGGUGCAGAGAACCAGGGAUGGGAAAGGAGGAGUCUGGGUUUGGGUGGGGCAGGGGGCACGGCGAGUUCCGGGGAUCACUCGGUGGCCUCUGCUGUACUUCAGUUUCCCCAAGCUGCAGUCAGCUAGGUGGCAGAUCACUGAGUUGAGACCAAAAGAGGGGUUUUAGGGUUGGGGACGGCAGCUUGGGCGCCAUGGCUUGGGGCUGGGGCUCUGCCUGCGGGCUACUGUCCUCUCCCCAGGUCCUGGAGCCUCUUAAUUUUUUUUAAUGAGGAGCUGCUGGCUUGUAAAAUCAUAUUCCUCUCUCUCCAAAGAAGAAUUGUGUUUGUAACAUGGUUUGAAGCAAGUAAGGGGUAUAGUUAUUGAAAAAUUUAAAAACUGGUUAUAACAUGCAUAUUUAGAUAGUAACACACCAUUUAGGAAGAUUGAACUCAUGUAGUGCAGAUAUUCAAUUACCAUGAAGCAGUAGUAGAACCCCAGUUCCUCACUUAAUUACAGGAUUUAAUUCUGAAUUCCAGGCACCAUGACUUUGAGAAGAAGCUUCCAUUUCUAUAGCAUGUAAGGUUCAACUCUACAAGUUUUCCCAGUGAUAUUUCUUGAGAUUUACUCUACCUUUUAGGAUCCUUUUUACCUUAUUUCAAAGAAAGAAGGAAUAGUUACCUGGAGAAAAUAUAAAGAUACUGCAAAAUGACACUCAUUAGCCAGUGGCUUACAGUGUGAUUGUCAUAGGCCUUCCUUCACAUUUAAAUACUGAACAUUCUUUGCUUCUUCCUUUGAUGAUGAACAUAUACCAAAUUUGCAUUUUGAGGGAGCCAUGUUAUAUUACUCUGGUAAUAAAAGAAAUUUACCUUGAUAUGAAAUACUUCUU
RNAcentral lists this long non-coding RNA (1789 nucleotides) under Sus scrofa (pig). Its description in RNAcentral is "lncRNA (ENSSSCG00035058237.1)". Lineage: Eukaryota; Metazoa; Chordata; Mammalia; Artiodactyla; Suidae. The record is from RNAcentral.